This 468-nucleotide ribosomal RNA is filed under the name uncultured bacterium. RNAcentral describes it as "partial 16S ribosomal RNA". It matches the Rfam family "Bacterial small subunit ribosomal RNA", at positions 28 to 507 of the family's 1533-position model. The record is from RNAcentral.
GACGAACGCUGGCGGCGUGCUUAACACAUGCAAGUCGAACGGAAAGGCCCUGCUUUUGUGGGGUGCUCGAGUGGCGAACGGGUGAGUAACACGUGAGUAACCUGCCCUUGACUUUGGGAUAACUUCAGGAAACUGGGGCUAAUACCGGAUAGGAGCUCCUGCUGCAUGGUGGUGGUUGGAAAGUUUCGGCGGUUGGGGAUGGACUCGCGGCUUAUCAGCUUGUUGGUGGGGUAGUGGCUUACCAAGGCUUUGACGGGUAGCCGGCCUGAGAGGGUGACCGGCCACAUUGGGACUGAGAUACGGCCCAGACUCCUACGGGAGGCAGCAGUGGGGAAUAGUGCACAAUGGGCGGAAGCCGGAUGCAGCAACGCCGCGUGCGGGAUGACGGCCUGCGGGGUGUAAACCGCGUUCGCCUGGGACGAAGCGUGAGUGACGGUAAUGGGUAAAGAAGCACCGGCUAACUACGUG